GGGUCAAUGAUGAGUAAUUUAUAUUGGCUUGAGGAGCGGUGAUGACUCAAAUAUCAAGUACAAUGGCAUGACGCUGAGGCCC
RNAcentral lists this small nucleolar RNA (82 nucleotides) under Carlito syrichta (Philippine tarsier). RNAcentral's name for it is "Small nucleolar RNA SNORD115 (ENSTSYG00000027278.1)". It matches the Rfam family "Small nucleolar RNA SNORD115". From Rfam's summary of the family: HBII-52 is a member of the C/D class of snoRNAs, which contain the C (UGAUGA) and D (CUGA) box motifs. HBII-52 is encoded in a tandemly repeated array with another C/D snoRNA, HBII-85, in the Prader-Willi syndrome (PWS) region of chromosome 15. The record is from Rfam by way of RNAcentral. Lineage: Eukaryota; Metazoa; Chordata; Mammalia; Primates; Tarsiidae.